This 424-nucleotide ribosomal RNA is filed under the name Verrucomicrobiota bacterium. RNAcentral describes it as "Verrucomicrobia bacterium partial 16S ribosomal RNA". It matches the Rfam family "Bacterial small subunit ribosomal RNA", at positions 355 to 776 of the family's 1533-position model. The record is from RNAcentral. Lineage: Bacteria; Pseudomonadati; Verrucomicrobiota.
UGAGGAAUAUUGGUCAAUGGACGAGAGUCUGAACCAGCCAAGUAGCGUGCAGGAUGACGGCCCUAUGGGUUGUAAACUGCUUUUGUUUGGGAAUAAUCGACAUUACGUGUAAUGUUUUGCAUGUACCAUUCGAAUAAGGACCGGCUAAUUCCGUGCCAGCAGCCGCGGUAAUACGGAAGGUCCAGGCGUUAUCCGGAUUUAUUGGGUUUAAAGGGAGUGUAGGCGGUUGGUUAAGCGUGUUGUGAAAUGUAGAUGCUCAACAUCUGACUUGCAGCGCGAACUGGCUGACUUGAGUACACACAACGUAGGCGGAAUUCAUGGUGUAGCGGUGAAAUGCUUAGAUAUCAUGAAGAACUCCGAUUGUGAAGGCAGCUUACGGGAGUGUUACUGACGCUUAAGCUCGAAGGUGCGGGUAUCGAACAGG